CAGCUUGGUUGAAAAAAGGAGCGAUGUUUCCAGCCUCAUGGAUGAUCCAAGGAAGUUAUCCUCAGCUUUCAGGAAGAAGCUGGAGCCAGUGGAAAUGUUACAACCCUGAAAGGGGAAUAAUGGAACAGGACUGAAGCUUUUAGGAUUAUAGCACUACCUCCCAUACAACUGAAAGGAAAUGGAUAACUAUGUGUGGAAACAGAGAGGCAGUGGUGACCAGUGUGCUCCAGACCUUGUCCUUUGUGCUGCUGCCUCUGGGCCAUGGAGUCCCAGCAAACACCUCAUACAGGUCUGCUUGCUUUGGAUUGUUUCUUCACAAAGGGGGAAAUGUGUUUCUCCCCUUCUCAUUUACCUUUUCCAAUGUUUCAUUUCACUAAUCUCUCUUCUUUUCUUAACAGCUUUACUUCCUUCAUUGUUGUUUUUUUCUUUAAUUUUACUUUAUUUCUAAUUGCCUCAUCUUGAAUGAGCUUCCAGUGUCUAAAAUUAGAAUUCUUCAGAAUCCUAAGAAGAUCUAAGGAGACAUUAAAUGUGUUCCAUUUUCCAAAAGACAAAUCUGGAACAUUUAAAUUGUUUACUAAAGGUCAUAUAAUACUAGGAUUCAAAGUUCUUUACCAUUGGGACAUUUUAUCUAAGGAAUGAUUGGGAUUAUAUACAUCACACUACCUUUCAAUCAGAAAUUUAUCAAGGAAAACCUGCCUUAUAGUAUGACCUUUGGCUUUUAUAAUUCAGAUUGAAAGAAUGCUUGCUCAUUUUGCCACUGAGCACAUUAGCAUCCUGUAUCUUCACAAGGUUAAUUUAAUGGACUGCUAUGCAUAUUGAUGAAUACUUCUGUGUUUUCUCAAAGUCACCAAAUUAGAAUUUCUGAAUGUUCAUUAGCCACAUAUGCAAUAGGAGUAGUCUAAAGUCAAUGAAUUUCUGUUAUGCCCUUUCUAAAACUGAUAUUAAAAUUGCAUAUGCAAAUUUAAGUUCAAAUUGUUGUG
Felis catus (domestic cat) is the source of this 980-nucleotide long non-coding RNA. RefSeq lists it as uncharacterized. The record is from RefSeq and is a predicted model, not a curated record. The transcript has 3 exons. Lineage: Eukaryota; Metazoa; Chordata; Mammalia; Carnivora; Felidae.